RNAcentral lists this ribosomal RNA (29 nucleotides) under Aponogeton euryspermus. RNAcentral's name for it is "partial 26S ribosomal RNA". Lineage: Eukaryota; Viridiplantae; Streptophyta; Magnoliopsida; Alismatales; Aponogetonaceae. The record is from RNAcentral.
CCAGGUCAGGCGGGGCCACCCGCUGAGUU